UCGGGAAUUUUGGGCAAUGGGCGAAAACCUGACCCAGCAACGCCGCGUGAGGGAUGAAGUAUUUCGGUAUGUAAACCUCGAAAGAAUGGGAAGAAUAAAUGACGGUACCAUUUAUAAGCUCCGGCUAACUACGUGCCAGCAGCCGCGGUAAUACGUAGGGAGCAAGCGUUGUUCGGAUUUACUGGGCGUAAAGGGCGCGUAGGCGGCGCGGUAAGUCACUUGUGAAAUCUCUGAGCUUAACUCAGAACGGCCAAGUGAUACUGCUGUGCUAGAGUGCGGAAGAGGCAACUGGAAUUCUUGGUGUAGCGGUGAAAUGCGUAGAUAUCAAGAGGAACACCUGAGGCGAAGGCGGGUUGCUGAGCCGACACUGACGCUGAUGCGCGAAAGCCAGGGGAGCAAACG
Molecule: ribosomal RNA, 402 nt
Filed under: uncultured bacterium
Lineage: Bacteria
Description: bacterial SSU rRNA
Rfam family: Bacterial small subunit ribosomal RNA
Source: RNAcentral